RNAcentral lists this ribosomal RNA (253 nucleotides) under uncultured bacterium. RNAcentral's name for it is "partial 16S ribosomal RNA". It matches the Rfam family "Bacterial small subunit ribosomal RNA", at positions 524 to 776 of the family's 1533-position model. The record is from RNAcentral.
UACGAAGGGGGCUAGCGUUGCUCGGAAUCACUGGGCGUAAAGGGUGCGUAGGCGGGUCUUUAAGUCAGGGGUGAAAUCCUGGAGCUCAACUCCAGAACUGCCUUUGAUACUGAGGAUCUUGAGUUCGGGAGAGGUGAGUGGAACUGCGAGUGUAGAGGUGAAAUUCGUAGAUAUUCGCAAGAACACCAGUGGCGAAGGCGGGUUGCUGGGCUGAUACUGACGCUGAGGUGCGAAAGCGUGGGGAGCAAACAGG